This 402-nucleotide ribosomal RNA is filed under the name uncultured bacterium. RNAcentral's name for it is "bacterial SSU rRNA". It matches the Rfam family "Bacterial small subunit ribosomal RNA", at positions 355 to 754 of the family's 1533-position model. The record is from RNAcentral.
UAAGGAAUAUUGGUCAAUGGACGAAAGUCUGAACCAGCCAUGCCGCGUGAAGGAUGAAGGUCCUCUGGAUUGUAAACUUCUUUUAUCUGGGACGAAAAAAGGGAAUUCUUUCUCACUUGACGGUACCAGAAGAAUAAGCACCGGCUAACUCCGUGCCAGCAGCCGCGGAAAUACGAAGGGUGCAAGCGUUAUCCGGAUUCAUUGGGUUUAAAGGGUGCGUAGGUGGGGCGUUAAGUCAGUGGUGAAAGCCCGCAGCUCAACUGUGGAAUUGCCAUUGAUACUGGCGCUCUUGAGUGCGCUUGAAGUAGGCGGAAUGUGCCGUGUAGCGGUGAAAUGCUUAGAUAUGGCACAGAACACCAAUUGCGAAGGCAGCUUACUAAGGCGAUACUGACGCUGAGGCAC